Nomascus leucogenys (northern white-cheeked gibbon) is the source of this 381-nucleotide non-coding RNA. The record is from the annotation of a RefSeq genome assembly. NCBI's taxonomy places the organism in Eukaryota, Metazoa, Chordata, Mammalia, Primates, Hylobatidae.
AGCAUGGACAUGAAGGUCCCUGCUCAGCUCCUGGGGCUCCUGCUGCUCUGGCUCCCAGGUAUCAGAUGUGCCAUCCAGAUGACGCAGUCUCCAUCCUCCCUCUCUGCAUCUGUAGGAGACAGAGUCACCAUCACUUGCCGGGCAAGUCAGGGCAUUAGCAACUAUUUAAAUUGGUAUCAGCAGAAACCAGGGAAAGCCCCUAAGCUCCUGAUCUAUAGGGCAUCCAGUUUGGAAACAGGGGUCCCAUCAAGGUUCAGUGGAAGUGGAUCUGGGACAGAUUUUGCUCUCACCAUCAGCAGCCUGCAGCCUGAAGAUAUUGCAACAUAUUACUGUCUACAGUAUGAUAAUCUCCCUCCCACAGUGUUACAAGUCAUAACAUAA